This 72-nucleotide transfer RNA is filed under the name Marmota marmota marmota (Alpine marmot). It matches the Rfam family "tRNA". Rfam says of the family: Transfer RNA (tRNA) molecules are approximately 80 nucleotides in length. The record is from Rfam by way of RNAcentral. Lineage: Eukaryota; Metazoa; Chordata; Mammalia; Rodentia; Sciuridae. RNAcentral also lists the same sequence under 2 other names.
GGGGAUGUAACUCAGUGGUAGAGUGUUUGCCCAGUAUGCAUGAAGCCCUGGGUUCAAUUACCAGCACCACAA